Molecule: non-coding RNA, 1583 nt
Organism: Microcebus murinus (gray mouse lemur)
Lineage: Eukaryota; Metazoa; Chordata; Mammalia; Primates; Cheirogaleidae
Source: RefSeq, a predicted model, not a curated record
UGGCUUCCCGCCCCACCCCCUGCCUCCAGAACAACGGGUUCCCGCUGCUGCCCCCUGCCGCCCACAGCACCCCGCGCCCCCGCCGGGCUCCGAGAGGGGCGUCUGGGGAGCCGCUGCUGCUGGGGCCGUGGGAACCGGAGCGGAGAUACACCAGAACUGACCGGUUUCCUGUUAGAAAACUUCAGUUACUUUAGAGAAGCCGGUUUCUCUAGCUUAGUGACCUCACUUCUACUUUAAACCGAGUAAUGAUCUUGGGGGAAGCAGUUGGUUGAUAAGACGAAGAGCAACACCACGUUACUUUGCUCUGACUCAAAGGAAAUUAAACAAAAUACUGAUUGUGAGAACUUUUAAAGGGCUACCAACAGAAGGAAGGAACUCGGGUUUUUGGAGUGAUACCUUUUUUCCCCCGUAUGUACACAAAGAUGUACAUACGAGUUUGUUACAGCGGCAUAUUUGCUCGUAAGCUUACUUGAGUUUGUGGUUUAAAAAACCUCGUGAACUUUUCAAAAGAGAGGCGUUUGUUUCCGAAUCCAACAGAAAAAAAACAAUUCGAAAGAGCUGAAAAAGUUCAUUUAGAAUAGCAGUCACAUUUCAACAUUUUCCAUAUUUUGCAAUAUUAAGCUGUGAGCAUUUGUGCCAAAUUUUAAGGCAAGAAUUCUUACUGCCAAAUUACAAAUUUCUCAAGAUGAGGGGUGAUCAACCAAAUUGCUGCCAGACCCCAUAAACAGGCACUAACAGCACUGCUAUAAUUACACCUUAUUAUCUCCCUCGCAGCCUUAUUUGAUUCACUGCUGGAUAAAAUCCUCAUCCUGGGUGUUACUAACUGGCCUCAUGCCUCCGUUCGUCCAACGAGCAGUGUAACCCAUCACCCUCUAUUCCAUCUCUAGUCUGUCUCUUCCCUAAAUGCAACACAAUCAGGAAGUCCUCUAUGUGACCAAGUCCUGGGCCAUAUUUUUCCCUCUGGAACUCCAGUAAAGUGAAAUUUGUUGAGAUCUACUUCGGGAAAGCAUCCCCAAAUCAGAUUACCCUCUUGGAAGCCAGCCUCAGACUGUCAGCAUAUGCACUGUAAGUGCUAACCAGGACAGACAAUCCAACCUCACUGGAUAGUAAUGUUUUACAUUACUACUUCAAAUUAUAAAGAAGCAAGAUGGUUAAAGAUGGUAAAAUUCUCUGACGUUGGACAAGGUAGAAACCAGGAGGUAAAAUGGGAAGAGUGACAGCAAUGGAAGGAAGCUGAGAGAGAAUAAAUGUAACAUAUGUGCACAUGGAGAGAUCAGUAUCACACUGCGAAGAAUGCCGAUCAAGGUCAUGCAGAAGAGAAGUAUGUGAGUGUGUUAUGACAGAAUUAGAAAAAGAGCAUAAACGUGAAAACUGAGUACUGAGUACAUGGCAAGGGGAGGUGGUGGGCAAUGAUGUUGGUUUUUUCCCAUAUGGACCUUCAAAUAAAGUACUUUUAGGCUAGAUUAAUAGAAAUACAUCAUCUGGAACAUGGAAAGAAAGAGCUCCACUUUAUCCUGUGUUAGACCACAUCUAAGUAAUGUGUUCUCUUUUAGAGGGCUAUAAUAAAGAGAAUGACCAACCAA